RNAcentral lists this transfer RNA (74 nucleotides) under Deltaproteobacteria bacterium. Its description in RNAcentral is "tRNA-Gly". It matches the Rfam family "tRNA". From Rfam's summary of the family: Transfer RNA (tRNA) molecules are approximately 80 nucleotides in length. Their secondary structure includes four short double-helical elements and three loops (D, anti-codon, and T loops). The record is from RNAcentral. Lineage: Bacteria; Pseudomonadati; Myxococcota; Myxococcia.
GCGGGUGUAGUUCAAUGGCAGAACUCCAGCCUUCCAAGCUGGCCAUGUGGGUUCGAUUCCCAUCACCCGCUCCA